Molecule: non-coding RNA, 112 nt
Organism: Acanthosepion pharaonis
Lineage: Eukaryota; Metazoa; Mollusca; Cephalopoda; Sepiida; Sepiidae
Source: the annotation of a GenBank genome assembly
UUACGGCCAUAUCACGUUGACACACCGGUUCUCGUACUAUCACCGGAGUUAAGCAACGUCGAGCCUGGUCAGUACCUAGAUGAGUGACCGUUUGAAUACCAGGUGCUGUAAG